Molecule: ribosomal RNA, 254 nt
Filed under: uncultured bacterium
Lineage: Bacteria
Description: partial 16S ribosomal RNA
Rfam family: Bacterial small subunit ribosomal RNA
Source: RNAcentral
GACGUAGGGCGCGAGCGUUGUCCGGAUUUAUUGGGCGUAAAGAGCUCGUAGGCGGCUCGUUGCGUCGGCUGUGAAAACCCGCAGCUCAACUGUGGGCUUGCAGCUGAUACGGGCGGGCUUGGAUUCGGUAGGGGAGACGUGGAAUUCCUGGUGUAGCGGUGAAAUGCGCAGAUAUCAGGAGGAACACCGGUGGCGAAGGCGGGUCUCUGGGCCGAUAUCGACGCUGAGGAGCGAAAGCGUGGGGAGCAAACAGG